This is an RNA transcript of Biomphalaria glabrata, 499 nucleotides long. It is a transcript of the gene named 39S ribosomal protein L33, mitochondrial-like, with no coding region annotated. NCBI's taxonomy places the organism in Eukaryota, Metazoa, Mollusca, Gastropoda, Planorbidae. The record is from RefSeq and is a predicted model, not a curated record. The transcript has 4 exons.
CAGUGUCUUCAACUGAAAACAAUGUUUCGGCAUUUAGAGGAAUGUCCUUGCGAUAAAACGAAAGUAGAAAACUCGUAAUUUGAAAAGAGUUGAGACUUAUUAAUACUAGAGAGUCUAGACCUAUAUCUAGACUCUAGGACUAGAUCUAUCAUUUGUUUUAUCCUUGUUAUGUAAUUGUUUUCUAUAAGGCAACCAUAAUGUCCACGUCUGCAGGAAAAAUAAUGGUUGUGAUGCUUGAAAGCUUGGCUGGAACUGGCCAUAAAGUAUUCAGACAACGGCCAAAGACUGGAGAUAAAUUAGAAUUUUUACAUUUUGAUCCAUAUGUUCAAGCACAGGUAUUAUAUAAAGAAGUUAAGAAAAUCAAAACUCUACGUUCAAAAUACAAAUAAAUGACUGCCAACUUUAAUCACAAAAAUAUUUCUUGUUAUUGAUAAUGAAUGCCUUUUUAAAAGAAAAAAAAAAAGUAUCAGUGAACUGAUAAAUAAAAAUAUAAAUAAUA